AAGCAACGCGAAGAACCUUACCAGGCCUUGACAUGCAGAGAACUUUCAGAGAUGGAUUGGUGCCUUCGGGAACUCUGACACAGGUGCUGCAUGGCUGUCGUCAGCUCGUGUCGUGAGAUGUUGGGUUAAGUCCCGCAACGAGCGCAACCCUUGCCUUUAGUUGCCAGCAGUUCGGCUGGGCACUCUAAAGGGACUGCCGGUGUUAAACCGGAGGAAGGUGGGGAUGACGUCAAGUCCUCAUGGCCUUACGGCCUGGGCUACACACGUGCUACAAUGGUCGGUACAAAGGGUUGCCAAGCCGCGAGGUGGAGCUAAUCCCAUAAAACCGAUCGUAGUCCGGAUCGCAGUCUGCAACUCGACUGCGUGAAGUCGGAAUCGCUAGUAAUCGUGAAUCAGAAUGUCACGGUGAAUACGUUCCCGGGCCUU
This 426-nucleotide ribosomal RNA is filed under the name uncultured Pseudomonas sp. Its description in RNAcentral is "bacterial SSU rRNA". It matches the Rfam family "Bacterial small subunit ribosomal RNA", at positions 954 to 1382 of the family's 1533-position model. Lineage: Bacteria; Pseudomonadati; Pseudomonadota; Gammaproteobacteria; Pseudomonadales; Pseudomonadaceae. The record is from RNAcentral.